GCCCGGGUGGCGGAAUGGUAGACGCGCUCGACUCAAACUCGAGUGGCCGAAAGGCCGUAGGGGUUCGAAUCCCCUGCCGGGUA
RNAcentral lists this transfer RNA (83 nucleotides) under Tessaracoccus oleiagri. Its description in RNAcentral is "Tessaracoccus sp. SL014B-20A1 tRNA". It matches the Rfam family "tRNA". From Rfam's summary of the family: Transfer RNA (tRNA) molecules are approximately 80 nucleotides in length. The record is from Rfam by way of RNAcentral. Lineage: Bacteria; Bacillati; Actinomycetota; Actinomycetes; Propionibacteriales; Propionibacteriaceae.